Molecule: transfer RNA, 65 nt
Filed under: Pelecinus polyturator
Lineage: Eukaryota; Metazoa; Arthropoda; Insecta; Hymenoptera; Pelecinidae
Description: tRNA-Asp
Source: RNAcentral
AAAAAAUUAGUUAAGUAAAUAACAUUAAUUUGUCAAAUUAAAGUAAUUAAUUUUAAUAUUUUUUU